This 749-nucleotide long non-coding RNA is filed under the name Marmota monax (woodchuck). The record is from RNAcentral. Lineage: Eukaryota; Metazoa; Chordata; Mammalia; Rodentia; Sciuridae.
CUACAUACUUUCUCACACACAUCCCUCUCCAAGUUGCCUCUCUUUAUUGAUUUACUUUUUUUUUUAUACCAGGAAUUGUACUCAGGGGGACUCGACCACUGAGCCACAUCCCCAGCCCUUUUUUGUAUUUUAUUUAGAGACAGGGUCUCACUGAGUUACUUAGUGCCUCACAGUUGCUGAGGCUGGCUUUGAACUCGUGAUCCUCCUGCCUCAGCCUCCCAAGCCGAUUGGGUUACAGGUGUGCGCCACCACACUUGGCUGAACUUAUUUAUUUUGUUUACUUUUUUGUGGUGCUGGGAUUGUACCCAGGGGUGCUAUACCACUGAGCUACAUCCCUAGCCCUUUUUAUUUUGAGACAAACUCUCAUUAUGUGGCCCAGGCUAGCUAUGAAUUUUCAAUCCUCCUGACUCAACCUCCUGAGAACAUGGGAUUACAGGUGAACACUACUGAACCAGGCCCAAAUUCCCUUUUCAAAGAAGCACCAGGCCAGGCACAGUGGUCUAUGUGCCUGUAAUCCCAACAACUCAAGAGACUAAGUCAGGAGAAAGAUCACAAGUUUAAAGCCAGCCUGGGCAACUUACUGAGACAAUCUCAAAAUAAAAAAUAAAAGGGCUGGAGAUGUAGCUUGAUGGUAAAGCAUCCCUGGGUUCAAUUCUUGAUCCAAAAAAAAAAAAAGAGCCAGACAAAAACUCAUCUCUGUCUUGAAAUUGCCCACAUUCUUUCUUGAACAUGUAUCUACUUUCCUAAAU